Molecule: non-coding RNA, 26 nt
Filed under: Rattus norvegicus (Norway rat)
Lineage: Eukaryota; Metazoa; Chordata; Mammalia; Rodentia; Muridae
Source: RNAcentral
UGGGAUGUAAGCAUGAUAUGCUGGGU